This 2898-nucleotide ribosomal RNA is filed under the name Klebsiella pneumoniae. Its description in RNAcentral is "23S ribosomal RNA". It matches the Rfam family "Bacterial large subunit ribosomal RNA". Lineage: Bacteria; Pseudomonadati; Pseudomonadota; Gammaproteobacteria; Enterobacterales; Enterobacteriaceae. The record is from RNAcentral.
UUAAGCGACUAAGCGUACACGGUGGAUGCCCUGGCAGUCAGAGGCGAUGAAGGACGUGCUAAUCUGCGAAAAGCGUCGGUAAGGUGAUAUGAACCGUUAUAACCGGCGAUGUCCGAAUGGGGAAACCCAGUGUGAUUCGUCACACUAUCGUUAACUGAAUACAUAGGUUAACGAGGCGAACCGGGGGAACUGAAACAUCUAAGUACCCCGAGGAAAAGAAAUCAACCGAGAUUCCCCCAGUAGCGGCGAGCGAACGGGGAGCAGCCCAGAGUCUGAAUCAGCUUGUGUGUUAGUGGAACGGUCUGGAAAGUCCGACGGUACAGGGUGAUAGUCCCGUACACCAAAAUGCACAGGCUGUGAACUCGAAGAGUAGGGCGGGACACGUGGUAUCCUGUCUGAAUAUGGGGGACCAUCCUCCAAGGCUAAAUACUCCUGACUGACCGAUAGUGAACCAGUACCGUGAGGGAAAGGCGAAAAGAACCCCGGCGAGGGGAGUGAAAAAGAACCUGAAACCGUGUACGUACAAGCAGUGGGAGCACCUUCGGGUGUGACUGCGUACCUUUUGUAUAAUGGGUCAGCGACUUAUAUUCUGUAGCAAGGUUAACCGUAUAGGGGAGCCGCAGGGAAACCGAGUCUUAACUGGGCGUUAAGUUGCAGGGUAUAGACCCGAAACCCGGUGAUCUAGCCAUGGGCAGGUUGAAGGUUGGGUAACACUAACUGGAGGACCGAACCGACUAAUGUUGAAAAAUUAGCGGAUGACUUGUGGCUGGGGGUGAAAGGCCAAUCAAACCGGGAGAUAGCUGGUUCUCCCCGAAAGCUAUUUAGGUAGCGCCUCGUGAACUCAUCUUCGGGGGUAGAGCACUGUUUCGGCUAGGGGGUCAUCCCGACUUACCAACCCGAUGCAAACUACGAAUACCGAAGAAUGUUAUCACGGGAGACACACGGCGGGUGCUAACGUCCGUCGUGAAGAGGGAAACAACCCAGACCGCCAGCUAAGGUCCCAAAGUCAUGGUUAAGUGGGAAACGAUGUGGGAAGGCACAGACAGCCAGGAUGUUGGCUUAGAAGCAGCCAUCAUUUAAAGAAAGCGUAAUAGCUCACUGGUCGAGUCGGCCUGCGCGGAAGAUGUAACGGGGCUAAACCAUGCACCGAAGCUGCGGCAGCGACACUAUGUGUUGUUGGGUAGGGGAGCGUUCUGUAAGCCUGCGAAGGUGUGCUGUGAGGCAUGCUGGAGGUAUCAGAAGUGCGAAUGCUGACAUAAGUAACGAUAAAGCGGGUGAAAAGCCCGCUCGCCGGAAGACCAAGGGUUCCUGUCCAACGUUAAUCGGGGCAGGGUGAGUCGACCCCUAAGGCGAGGCCGAAAGGCGUAGUCGAUGGGAAACAGGUUAAUAUUCCUGUACUUGGUGUUACUGCGAAGGGGGGACGGAGAAGGCUAUGUUAGCCGGGCGACGGUUGUCCCGGUUUAAGCAUGUAGGCUGGUUGUCCAGGCAAAUCCGGAUAAUCAAGGCUGAGGUGUGAUGACGAGGCACUACGGUGCUGAAGUAACAAAUGCCCUGCUUCCAGGAAAAGCCUCUAAGCAUCAGGUAACAUCAAAUCGUACCCCAAACCGACACAGGUGGUCAGGUAGAGAAUACCAAGGCGCUUGAGAGAACUCGGGUGAAGGAACUAGGCAAAAUGGUGCCGUAACUUCGGGAGAAGGCACGCUGGUGUGUAGGUGAAGUCCCUGCGGAUGGAGCUGAGACCAGUCGAAGAUACCAGCUGGCUGCAACUGUUUAUUAAAAACACAGCACUGUGCAAACACGAAAGUGGACGUAUACGGUGUGACGCCUGCCCGGUGCCGGAAGGUUAAUUGAUGGGGUUAUCCGUAAGGAGAAGCUCUUGAUCGAAGCCCCGGUAAACGGCGGCCGUAACUAUAACGGUCCUAAGGUAGCGAAAUUCCUUGUCGGGUAAGUUCCGACCUGCACGAAUGGCGUAAUGAUGGCCAGGCUGUCUCCACCCGAGACUCAGUGAAAUUGAACUCGCUGUGAAGAUGCAGUGUACCCGCGGCAAGACGGAAAGACCCCGUGAACCUUUACUAUAGCUUGACACUGAACAUUGAGCCUUGAUGUGUAGGAUAGGUGGGAGGCUUUGAAGCGUGGACGCCAGUCUGCGUGGAGCCAACCUUGAAAUACCACCCUUUAAUGUUUGAUGUUCUAACGUUGGCCCCUGACCGGGGUUGCGGACAGUGUCUGGUGGGUAGUUUGACUGGGGCGGUCUCCUCCCAAAGCGUAACGGAGGAGCACGAAGGUUAGCUAAUCCUGGUCGGACAUCAGGAGGUUAGUGCAAUGGCAUAAGCUAGCUUGACUGCGAGCGUGACGGCGCGAGCAGGUGCGAAAGCAGGUCAUAGUGAUCCGGUGGUUCUGAAUGGAAGGGCCAUCGCUCAACGGAUAAAAGGUACUCCGGGGAUAACAGGCUGAUACCGCCCAAGAGUUCAUAUCGACGGCGGUGUUUGGCACCUCGAUGUCGGCUCAUCACAUCCUGGGGCUGAAGUAGGUCCCAAGGGUAUGGCUGUUCGCCAUUUAAAGUGGUACGCGAGCUGGGUUUAGAACGUCGUGAGACAGUUCGGUCCCUAUCUGCCGUGGGCGCUGGAGAAUUGAGGGGGGCUGCUCCUAGUACGAGAGGACCGGAGUGGACGCAUCACUGGUGUUCGGGUUGUCAUGCCAAUGGCACUGCCCGGUAGCUAAAUGCGGAAGAGAUAAGUGCUGAAAGCAUCUAAGCACGAAACUUGCCCCGAGAUGAGUUCUCCCUGAGACUUUAAGUCUCCUGAAGGAACGUUAAAGACGAUGACGUUGAUAGGCCGGGUGUGUAAGCGCAGCGAUGCGUUGAGCUAACCGGUACUAAUGAACCGUGAGGCUUAACCU